CUUUACUUCUGACUAAGCUUCCAGGAGCCAGGAUCUCCCUUCUCCAUGUCAGAAGAGAUAAAACAGCCUGCAGUCAUCACAGGUGUCCUGCAGUGAAGAAGAGUAUCUGAAGGAAGCUGGCCAUGAUAUAUAGCUGCUCAACUAUGUCAUCCCUGUGAAAAUGUUUGCAGCCCUUUAUGGUGAUGUCCCUAUAGAUGAUCCGUCACUGAGGUUAACAGAAGUCCUCAUGGAUGGGUAUUGCAGCAUAAAUUAACUUCAGUUGAAGAAACAAGAUGGGUGCAAAGGAAGAAGAAAGCAAAUUCUUACUGCAUCAAUAAGAGAGGAAGGAUUCAUUGCCUUUGAAAAUUUGAAGGAAGAGAAUAAGAAUUAAUUCCCUUUUUGUCAUUGCCUCCAAAGCUCCAUUCUGAGCUCCAUUCUACCUUAUUUUUCUGCAAAUGUCUGAAGACUCAAGCAGUGGGCAGUUCUUUAAUAUACAGAGAUAGCACAGAGUUCGCUCUACUCAAAUAUGAAAAUGGCUUAGCAAAUAUCUAGUUUCUGUGAGGCCAGCUUGUGAUCUAUACUCGAGUAAAGAUUUUUUCCUUAAAACCCCUUGCUUUAAUGGGCAAUUUCCCUUGAAAAUGGUAAACUGCAAAUUAAAUUGCAAAAAGCAAUUAAUUAUUGAAAUUGUAAUAUCCUUGUAAAGGUUAAGAGGUAAUAUAAAUGAAGUUCCUGUGAGCACAUUAGUGGAAUUACUAUCUUUCCCUUUAUAAGUGGUAACUAACGACCUUGCUAAUUAGCUUUUUCAUCAGGAAAAGGAAUAUUGAAAUAUGUAGUUAUAUUGCAAAAGCACAAUCUAUGAGUAGGUUAUUUUGUUACAAUAUAAUAUCGAGAGAACACUCUCAGUGCUGAACCUUCCCAGAGAGGGUUAAGAUAUCUUCCCAGAGCUUGUAUGGGAGAUGAGUGAAGCCCCCAUAAACCAGAAGGAGAUGAUUAGUGACCUGCUAUGACAAUUAGACGUGCCCAAGUCUAUGGGCCCUGAUGAUCCACCCCAGAAUACUGAGGGAACUAACGAAAAGAACUUGCCAAACUACUCUCAAUCACCCAGCAGUCCUGGUUAACUGUAAAAGUUCCAGCUGACUGAAAAUUAGCAAAUGUUACACCCAUCUACAAAAAGGGUUGAAAAGACAAUCUGGGGAACUACAGGCUUGUCAGCCUGACCUGGGCACCAGGAAGGUUAUGGAAGAGAUAUCCUGAAUGCCAUUGCAUGGCCCAUACUGGGCAACCAGGGGAUCAAGCCCAGCCUACACGGAUUUUAAAAAGCCACGUCCUGCUUGACCAGCCUGGUCUCCUGUAUCUAUACCUAUAUAUGUAUUAUAGAGAUAUGUAUAUAAUCCAUAUAUCUGUAUUAUAAAUACACAUAUGUCUAGUAAAUGCAUGCCCGUGUAGGUAUAUGAAUGCUAUAUACAUACUGGAUUUACUAAGGACAAGCCUUUUGGAGAGUUGUAAAAUAAAAGGACUUGGUUCUUCCCCCACUGAGAACAUGUUUCGGACAUUGAUACACCUAGAAGUGAGUUCUGUUUGGGUUUCAGCUGACAAGAGCUGGCAUUACAAUUCUUCUGUGGAUGAAUCUCUGUGAGAUUUCAGAAGUUCCAGCUUUGUGGAGUCCCUGAGUUCUGUACAGCCCUCAGGGUGCGAUGGGGAGGGGAGGAAAUGAGCUUCCACUUGGAAAAUGAAUUGGCCAUUGUCCCCAACUCGAGGAUUUUCAGCUUUCCUUUCUAAAAACCCCAGAAAUCAUUAGCCAUAUCCUUGGGAAUGUGAUCUAAUAGGGUGACCUAGAUGCAAGUGAUUGCUGGAACUCAAGGGGAGAGGCAGCUCUGCUCCAGUUCUGUGGAAAAUGACUGGGGGAGGAACAGGACGCUGCCUUGAGCCCCCUUCUCAGAUACACCCAGUUUAACCAAACCGCUAAAAGUCGCCUUUGAGUUCUGCAAAGGCACCUUAGAAGCCUCAGGACAGUGGCCCAGGGCGGUUACGAAUCCCAGAGGUUUUACGGAGAGGAGAAGCACGCUCUGCUCUCUGCCCCCGCUUUUCACACACACUCCCUUCCUCGUCUGCGGCCGCAUCAAACGCUGCGGAGGGGCCGGGGCCGGGGCAGGGCCGGGAGCUGUGAGCCCGCCCUGCCCCGGGCCGCCCCCGGCGCUGCUCCGGCCCCGCCGCCCACCGAGUGUCACUGUCGAGCAGCGCAGCGCAGCGCAGCGCCCCGGGCACCCAUCGCCGGGGCACCGGUGCGCUCCGGGUCCGGCGCGGAAACUGGCACCUCCUGCCGAAAGCUGAUCCCGGACUGAGGUUUGAAGCGGAAAGAAACAGCGUCUUUCUGUUGCACGUGUCCUUAAACAAACCCGUGUCUCCGAACGCGCCCGCCGCUUAGUGCGAGAGAGCACCGCGGCAAGACCUGCUCUUGGUACGUUCCUCUCAUCCUCCUUUACCGGAAUCUGGGGAAGAUAGACAGGUGUCCCACUCAUAAGUAAGAUGACACUAUUAAAUUAUUUGUAUUGGGUCUACAUGCGCAGAAAGCAGGCUGCCAGUAGAUGAGCAUUUCUUACUGGGAAAUCACUCGUUCAUCAUCCAAAUGUUCCUUAUUUUAAAAAGUCCAAUUAAGGAUCGAAAACAGCCAUGUUUUUCAUGAGUUUGUGCAAGGCUAAGACAAUUUCCAGGUAAAGGAGGAUGGGUCUGGGACCUGUAAUCUCAGAGUUCAGUCACUCUGGCCGUGUUUGCAAGGGCAGAGCAGGCCUUCAGCCAAGGGGCUGGUGCAGAAUAAAACUCCUUGGCCUCUCCCACAGCCACCAGGCUUGUCAACAACAGGACACAAAAGAGAAAAUCAAUAGCUGUAGCCACUGUUUUAGAGCCUUGCAAAAUGUAGAGUACCUGGUGGCUUUUAUAUAAUAGAUGAUAAAUAAUAACUUCAUAAAGAUGAAACAACAUGCAAAGGGUUUAUGGCAAAUAAUAAAGAUUGUUUUCCUCUUU
This is a long non-coding RNA of Taeniopygia guttata (zebra finch), 3000 nucleotides long. RefSeq lists it as uncharacterized. The record is from RefSeq and is a predicted model, not a curated record. Lineage: Eukaryota; Metazoa; Chordata; Aves; Passeriformes; Estrildidae.